UGGGGACUUCCUGACUAAUAAAUAGCUCCUGCUGUUGAAAACACCUAAAUGCAGAGAGUUUAUCACCCUCCACUCCAUUUCAAGCUUCUGAGGAAGGCUCUGAGCCUGAGACCCUAUUCGGUGACUUCUCACUGACCUUCCAUGUUUCAAAACUGAACAGUCUUCAAAAGGGUAGAAGCAGAGGGAAUACUUUCUAACUCACUGUUUGAGACCAGUUUUACCCUACUACCAAAGCCACACAAAGACGUUGUAAGGAGAGACAACUACAGACCAAUAUUUCUCAUGAAUACAGAUUUAAAAUUUCUCAACAAAAUGUUAGUCAAUCGAAUCCAACAAUGUAUAAAAAAACAUACAUCAUGAUCAAGUGGGAUUUAUCCAAGAUACACAAGGCUGGGUCAACAUUUGAAACCAAUUAAUGUAAUCCAUCACAUCAACAGACUAAAGAAGAAAAAUCAUAUGAUCAAAUCAACAGAGGCAGAAAAAGCAUUUGACAAAAUCCAACAUCCAUUUAUAAUAAUAAGCUUUCUGUAAACUUGAAAUAGAGAAGGAUAUCCUCAACCUGAUAAAGAAUUAUCUACAAAAACCUACAGCCAACAUCCUACUUAACAAUGAGAAACAUAAAGCUUCCCCACUAAGAUCAGGUAUGAGACAAGGAUGGGAAAGAAAAAAAAAACAACUAUAUUUAUAGAUGACAGUACUGGUAUGUAGAAAAUCUGAAGGAACUGACCCCUCCCCCCCAACAAAACCUCUUGAAACUAAUAUGCAGCUAUAACAAGGUUGUAAGACACAAGAGUAAUAUAUAAAAAUCAUUUGCCAACAAUGAACAAAUGGAAUUUGAAAUAAAAAAAAUACCAUUUACAUUAGCACCCCCUCAAAAUGAAAUACUUAGGUA
Acinonyx jubatus (cheetah) is the source of this 892-nucleotide long non-coding RNA. RefSeq lists it as uncharacterized. NCBI's taxonomy places the organism in Eukaryota, Metazoa, Chordata, Mammalia, Carnivora, Felidae. The transcript is spliced from 3 exons. The record is from RefSeq and is a predicted model, not a curated record.